GCUCAAAUUUGAAAUCUUCAAGGUUUUACCUUGACGAAUUGUAGUUUAAAGAAGUGUUUUCUGUUGGUGUUUUGGUAAAAGUUCUUUGGAAUAGGACAUCAUAGAGGGUGAGAAUCCCGUAUUUGACCAUUACUUCCAGCGUUGUGAUACACUUUCAAAGAGUCGGAUUGUUUGGGAAUGCAGUCCAAAGUGGGUGGUAAAUUUCAUCUAAAGCUAAAUAUUGGCGAGAGACCGAUAGCGAACAAGUACCGUGAGGGAAAGAUGAAAAGAACUUUGAAAAGAGAGUUAAACAGUACGUGAAAUUGUCAAAAGGGAAGCGUUUGACACCAGUGUUGUUUUCUCGAAAAUCAAUUAAAAAAAGUUGGAUUUUGUAUUGUUAAGACCUUAUCAGCUUACUGUACUCUUUUCUUGCUUUUUUUAAUGCACUUUUCGUUUAACAAG
Molecule: ribosomal RNA, 441 nt
Filed under: uncultured Neocallimastigomycetes
Lineage: Eukaryota; Fungi; Neocallimastigomycota; Neocallimastigomycetes
Description: LSU rRNA
Rfam family: Eukaryotic large subunit ribosomal RNA
Source: RNAcentral